UGACACAUAUUGUAACUUGUGGUGCAUUUAAGAUAAUAUUAAUGUUAAUCUUGUGAUUAACAGGGUUCCCACAACUUCUAACACAUCAAAUUCAAAGACUUUUCAAGGACUUUCCAGGUCCAAUUUAUAGUUUUAGACACGUGUCCAGGAUAUUUUCGGAAAAACACCGAGGAUUUUUAUAAUGAGAACUAGCAGGAUUUACAGCAGCUCACAGGGAGAGAGGCUCGAAUGUGUGAACAUUUCUCAAGUGUGCGGUGUCACCAUGAGGGCAGACUUUGUGCUCCCUGGCCUUCUCUCACACAGCGCAGCAAAACUCUAUUGUGUAAGUUGAGUGAUGGAGACGACAACAUAUUUACUACUUAAAGAGCUAAGUAAAACAACUUCAAUCAUUGCACACAACCUACAAAUUCAAGCGCUUUCAAUAAACCACUACUAAAAUAAUUUUCCCCCUCGAAUUUGCAGACUUUCGGGGAUUUCCAGGACCUAAGGGAUCCAUGGAAUAAGUCAUGUACUGGCCUUACUGCAGAUACAGAGAGAUUUACCAAGAUAAAUACAAGACGUGGCCACACAGACGCCCCCCCCUCCCCCUCCCCCUCUGUUCUUUCAAUAAGUUGUCUUCCUCUCAAGUUGUGGGCUUACAUCUUAAAAUAGAUGAUAGAUAGAUAGUUCCUGCAGCUGUCAUGUCACCUCUUUGUGUCUCUGUCUCCUUUAGUAUCUGGGGAAAUGGUACUUUAAAGCAACGGUCAGUCCGAGAGAGUCUGACAUCCAGAAGUUCAAAGACCUGGACAACAUGUGGAUCUCCAUGGAGCAGCCGGCAAAUGACACACUGCUGGUGACCGGACAUAUGCGCAGAGGAGAUGACUGCAUAACACAGAUCUGGACCUAUUUUAUCCAUCCUGAGAGGGAUGAUGUUGAAAUGGAAGGAAGGCCGAAGCGGAGGACCCUGCUCUGGAGUGGCAAGUGGGCCAACUGCUCCGAGUGCAUCAUUUUCCAGGAAGUAGAACCACCUCUAAAGGAGACGGACUCAGAGGACUCCCUCAACAGAUACUUGCUGUACGGCCGGCAGGGUGACGUCGACCACGAGGUGGUGAAAGCAUUUCUGGAAAACAUGUCUUGUCAUAACGUGUUGGCAAGUGUCAGACUUCCUCAAGAGAAAGAGUUUUGCACCUAAAUAUUAACAUUGAGGUCUUACAGGAUGCUGCAGGAGCCGUGAACGUCCUGGACGACAAUACAAUGAUUUCAUCUUUUUACUGUGUAACGGUGAAACAAAUAAAGCAACAAUAAAAACAUUCCCUCAGGAAA
This 1302-nucleotide long non-coding RNA is filed under the name Cottoperca gobio. RNAcentral's name for it is "lncRNA (ENSCGOG00000004240.1)". Lineage: Eukaryota; Metazoa; Chordata; Actinopteri; Perciformes; Bovichtidae. The record is from RNAcentral.